This 210-nucleotide ribosomal RNA is filed under the name Enterococcus faecium. Its description in RNAcentral is "partial 23S ribosomal RNA". It matches the Rfam family "Bacterial large subunit ribosomal RNA", at positions 132 to 342 of the family's 2925-position model. Lineage: Bacteria; Bacillati; Bacillota; Bacilli; Lactobacillales; Enterococcaceae. The record is from RNAcentral.
CAUCUUUAAUAGGAUGUUACGAUUGUGUGAAUACAUAGCACAUUCGAGGUAGACGCAGAGAACUGAAACAUCUAAGUACCUGCAGGAAGAGAAAGAAAAUUCGAUUCCCUGAGUAGCGGCGAGCGAAACGGGAAAAGCCCAAACCAACAAGCUUGCUUGUUGGGGUUGUAGGACUCCAAUAUGGUCGUUCUUUCAGAUAGUCGAAUGACU